UACAGAGGUGGCAAGCGUUGUUCGGAAUUACUGGGCGUAAAGGGCGCGUAGGCGGUCCUGUAAGUCCCGUGUGAAAUCCCCCGGCUCAACUGGGGAAUGGCACGGGAGACUGCGGGGCUUGAGUUCGGGAGAGGGAAGCGGAAUUCCGGGUGUAGCGGUGAAAUGCGUAGAUAUCCGGAGGAACACCGGUGGCGAAGGCGGCUUCCUGGACCGACACUGACGCUAAGGCGCGAAAGCUAGGGGAGCAAAC
RNAcentral lists this ribosomal RNA (250 nucleotides) under uncultured bacterium. RNAcentral's name for it is "partial 16S ribosomal RNA". It matches the Rfam family "Bacterial small subunit ribosomal RNA", at positions 524 to 773 of the family's 1533-position model. The record is from RNAcentral.